GCUAUUGUUAUGCAAGAACAACAUAAUAAUAUAAGCUAUAAAGAUAAAGAUUUUUUUUUAUAUUUUUUGAUAUACGAAAAAAAAAUUUAUGAACAAUUAUUUAAAAAAAUAAAUUUAAAUUACGAAAAACAUGAACUUGUAAACAAAUUAAAGAUGUUAAAACAGAAACUUAAAGAACAGAGAUUUAAAGAAAUAAAAUAUUUGUUUGAAGAAAGUAUGCAUCAUGUAUAUUUAGUGAAUAAUACUGAAAUUGGAACUACUGACAUUGUAGAUACAACUGGUACUUCUAAUGCUGCAGAUAAAAAUAAGCUCUAUACGAAUACCAUCUAUAGUAAACUUUUUUCAAAUAAUUUCGAUUUUAAUAGUAUUAAUUAUAUAAAUGAAAACAAGUCUUGGUUUCAUCUUUCAUUAAAAUACCUUUUACCAAAAUUAUACAAUUGUAAUGACCAUAAGCAGACAAAUAAUUUGAUAUAUAAUAUAGGAAAUAAAAUUAUUAAUAAAACAUUUAUUAAUAAUAAUGCAUUGAAGAAAAAAAAAAGAAAAAGAAAAAUGGAUAAUAAUACUGUUCAUGCAUUGGCGCUUAUGCCUGCAACAGACAAUGCUACUGUUUCUACAGCCUCUACUACCGCUACUGCUGUCACUGCUGCUACUGUUGCUACUGCUACUACGGUUGCUACUACUACAUCUGACAUUACCAUUAGUAAUAAUAAAAAAAAGAAAAAGCAAAAUAAAAAAAAAAAAAACGAUCAAGACCAAUAUAACUAUAUAUAUAAUGAUAAAAAUAAUAAUAACAUGAAUGGUUAUAACCCAUCAAACAAUAAUAUCAUAGAAAAUGGUACUUACAAUAAUAAUAAAUACAGUUUAAUUUAUAACAACGAUAUACAACAAAAUAUAUAUAACAACAUGUGUUAUAACUUAUAUAACACUACACAAGGUAAUAUGUACACAAACAAUAAUAUACAAAACCAUUUAUAUAACAGCGGGAUGACAAACAUCUCAUGUAACUCUACGUAUAACAACAUGUACAACAAUAAUAACAUUUACAGCAACGAUAACAUGUACAACAAGGAUAACGAGUAUAACAAGGAUAAUAUGUAUAACAAGGAUAAUAUGUAUAACAAGGAUAAUAUGUAUAACAAGGAUAAUAUGUAUAACAAGGAUAACAUGUAUAAUCAAGCGUUUAACCAUAAUAACCCGAUUAACUACAAUAACCCCAUUAACUACAAUAAUAGUAUUAAAUAUAAUGACGGUAUUAACUAUAAUAACGACAAUAUCUACAAUAACAACAAUAACUACAAUAACAACAAUGACCACAGUAACAACAUUAACUAUGGUAACGACCUUAGCUAUGCUAACAACAUAAGCUACAAUACCGACAUUAACAACACUAACAAUCCGUUUGGAUAUGUUAACAACCUUGACAUGCAACCUACUACUAUUCCUACUGCUAAUAACAUCAAUGAUACUACUCCUACAGCUGUCAAACAU
Molecule: long non-coding RNA, 1488 nt
Filed under: Piliocolobus tephrosceles (Ugandan red Colobus)
Lineage: Eukaryota; Metazoa; Chordata; Mammalia; Primates; Cercopithecidae
Description: lncRNA (ENSPTEG00000007498.1)
Source: RNAcentral